Molecule: ribosomal RNA, 415 nt
Filed under: uncultured bacterium
Lineage: Bacteria
Description: bacterial SSU rRNA
Rfam family: Bacterial small subunit ribosomal RNA
Source: RNAcentral
UGGGGAAUAUUGCACAAUGGGGGAAACCCUGAUGCAGCGACGCCGCGUGAGCGAUGAAGUAUUUCGGUAUGUAAAGCUCUAUCAGCAGGGAAGAAGAUGACGGUACCUGACUAAGAAGCCCCGGCUAACUACGUGCCAGCAGCCGCGGUAAUACGUAGGGGGCAAGCGUUAUCCGGAUUUACUGGGUGUAAAGGGAGCGUAGACGGCUGAGCAAGUCAGAAGUGAAAGCCCGGGGCUCAACCCCGGGACUGCUUUUGAAACUGUCCGGCUCGAGUGCAGGAGAGGUAAGCGGAAUUCCUAGUGUAGCGGUGAAAUGCGUAGAUAUUAGGAGGAACACCAGUGGCGAAGGCGGCUUGCCGGACCGUAACUGACGCUGAUGCUCGAAAGUGCGGGUAUCAAACAGGAUUAGAUACCC